RNAcentral lists this ribosomal RNA (585 nucleotides) under uncultured bacterium. Its description in RNAcentral is "partial 16S ribosomal RNA". It matches the Rfam family "Bacterial small subunit ribosomal RNA", at positions 355 to 1376 of the family's 1533-position model. The record is from RNAcentral.
UGGGGAAUUUUGGACAAUGGGCGCAAGCCUGAUCCAGCCAUGCCGCGUGCGGGAAGAAGGCCUUCGGGUUGUAAACCGCUUUUGUCAGGGAAGAAAUCUUCUGAGUUAAUACCUCGGGAGGAUGACGGUACCUGAAGAAUAAGCACCGGCUAACUACGUGCCAGCAGCCGCGGUAAUACGUAGGGCGCAAGCGUUAAUCGGAAUUACUGGGCGUAAAGCGUGCGCAGGCGGUUUUGUAAGACAGAGGUGAAAUCCCCGGGCUCAACCUGGGAACUGCCUUUGUGACUGCAAGGCUUGAGUGCGGCAGAGGGGGAUGGAAUUCCGCGUGUAGCAGUGAAAUGCGUAGAUAUGCGGAGGAACACCGAUGGCGAAGGCAAUCCCCUGGGCCUGCACUGACGCUCAUGCACGAAAGCGUGGGGAGCAAACAGGAUUAGAUACCCUGUAGUCCACGCCCUAAACGAUGUCAACUGGUUGUUGGGAAGGUUCCUUCUCAGUAACGUAGCUAACGCGUGAAGUUGACCGCCUGGGGAGUACGGCCGCAAGGUUGAAACUCAAAUGAAUUGACGGGGUCAUAGCUGUUUCCUG